RNAcentral lists this ribosomal RNA (196 nucleotides) under Salmonella enterica subsp. enterica serovar Johannesburg str. SA20025782. RNAcentral describes it as "partial 23S ribosomal RNA". It matches the Rfam family "Bacterial large subunit ribosomal RNA", at positions 2748 to 2925 of the family's 2925-position model. The record is from RNAcentral. Lineage: Bacteria; Pseudomonadati; Pseudomonadota; Gammaproteobacteria; Enterobacterales; Enterobacteriaceae.
GCUAAAUGCGGAAGAGAUAAGUGCUGAAAGCAUCUAAGCACGAAAACUUGCCCCGAGAUGAGUUCUCCCUGAGACUUAGAGUCUCCUGAAGGAACGUUGAAGACGACGACGUUGAUAGGCCGGGUGUGUAAGCGCAGCGAUGCGUUGAGCUAACCGGUACUAAUGAACCGUGAGGCUUAACCUUACAACGCCGAAG